This is a long non-coding RNA of Mirounga angustirostris (Northern elephant seal), 3612 nucleotides long. RefSeq lists it as uncharacterized. The record is from RefSeq and is a predicted model, not a curated record. The transcript is spliced from 5 exons. NCBI's taxonomy places the organism in Eukaryota, Metazoa, Chordata, Mammalia, Carnivora, Phocidae.
UCUGCAGGGGGCUGGGCUCCGACGGACGGGGCUGGGGCCGGGCGCGCGGGCCGGGCUGGGGCGGUGGGUGUGGGCGCUCAAGGGCGGAGGGACCGCAGAGCGCGGGCAGAAACCCCGUGGGCGUGGGCGGCGCGUUGGCGAGCGCGGGAGAGCGGCGGUGCUGGCCCCCGCUGCAGGGCCCGUGCCUGCCCGGCUCCCCUUCUGACCCCGCCUGGGUCCUCGCGGGUGUGGUGGCUGUCUAAGGUGUCCCUUGCAGGGUGGUUCCCUUUUUGCCGGGGUCCAGUCAGAGCACACCUUCUGAGGAGGACGACGGGUAGGCUCGUGCGGGUGUUCAAAGACCUUGGGCCGCGCUCCCCGUGUUCGGGAGGCAACCCCCUCCUCCGCUGCCCUGCGUUCUUUGAGCCUUUGCUGCCGUCCAGCUGUGUCCUGCGGUGCAGGGUGCGGCCGGGGUGCCCAGCCCUCUUUGUGUCUGGCUGCCCGGGACCGAUUGUACCCGCAGAGCCCCCCAGACGUGGAGAGCGGGCCUAACGGGACAGGGGAAGAGUCAUUUGGGGGCAGGGAGAGAUGCCACCUCACCCCGCUGUCAAAGCCUCCAAGCGCCCUGUAGGUGUGGAGGCCUCAACCCGAUGUCACUAGCAAGCUUUCUAAAUUGUAGGGAUGCUUGUUUCAUUAGGCGCUUCUCUUUAAUUGCCCCCCACCUCCCCCCCGCCCCAAAAUUAUUUUGGGCCACAGAGCACAUUCCAACAGACUCUUGCCUCCGUGCAGUGCUCACUCAGGUGAAGCUGGUUUCUUACAUUACCUGUGACGUGCUGUAACCAAAGCCUUCAUCCUCGAAUUGCCAGAGCUAAGGAAUGAAAACAGGGGGUUAUAUUUGACAAAGCCUCUUUAUUUUUGUCAUUCCUUUGUCUUCCAGUGUGCAGGUAAUUUCGCUCUCCACCAACGGGAUCUUUUCUUUUGUAGCAAAGAAGAGAUCAUCCCUACUGGGCUUUGUCCUCAGCUUUUUCCUCCCUCCACUCUUCAGCCCAGGGGCCCCCAGGUGCUGAGCCAGGGGGGUGGGGGGAGGAAUCCUUCGCGAGUUUGUGGUCUGCGCUCCCGAAAUUAGAGGGCGGUGCCUUGUAGAAAAGCAAAGACGUACAAAUGGUGUCUUCACGUUCUUCUGGCAUUCCCUUCCUUUACACCUUUAAGUUCCCGGGCUUUUUCUUUGUGUUUUGUUUUGGGUUUGUAGCGAACACGGCAGAGUGACAGGGCUUGGAACUGUCUCGCUAGAUGCCACGCGCGCCCCGCGAGUCAUCAGCCGCCGUGUCAGCCGAGUUCUCGUUGUCAGAGCUUAAUUCCCGAUGAUGCUGUGACCAGGAACCACUCGCUCGUGAAAACUUACGCAGUGUGCAAAGCUGACCGAGAAACCAAGAUGUGAGACCAGAGACUAGGCUGAAGCUUUGGAAAACAGAAAAUGCCAAGAGAAAGAUUAGGAGCUUAAUCCAUCUCAGAAGAACAAAUGAUACAAAUAUAUCAACUCUGUUUAAUCCCGCUGUGCUUUGCCUAUAAUUGAUGUUGGAUGAAUAAUCACUGACCGCAGUGGAGGCCGCUGUGGUCCGCGGCCCCCAGCCCAGCGCCGCCAGCCCUCUUGCGGUAGCGCCGUCACUCAAAUAAUAAAAAGUAUAGUUCCAGACAGUGGGGCUGGAAGGAAAAGGCGUGUUUGCCUCAUCCCUACAACAGAGGUCUUGGUCUACUGAGCGGCUUGCACAUGACUCCGUCCACUGGCUGCCAUUGAUUCAACAGAAGCAAAGAGACAUUGUGAAAACCAGGUUCUAAGGUGAACUGACUCCUGCCCCAGUUUUCAUAGGCUCUGGAAACUAGAAAGUGUCAGGAAAAAGAUCAGGAAUUUAACAGACCUAAGAAGAACCAAAGGUACAAAUAUGUCAACCUUUAUUCCCUAUGUCUCAUGCCCCUUUCUGCCAGAAAGUGGGUAUGAUAUAUAUAUAUACACAAACAAAAAAUUUUAUAAUAUAAUUACAUAUUAUAAAAAUAAAAUAUAAAUAAAAUGUGUCCUAUAAUUAUUUACAUAAGUAAUAUAAAUUAUAUAUAUAAUAUAUGCUGUUAUAUAGAAUAUAUAUAAUUUCGUUAGAAAACAUAUUUUUAAAUGCAAACUCCCAUUACAUCGUAUUUGAACAAAUGAAAACACAGACCAGAUGAAGGGAACGUGGACUAUUAAAUGCUUUACGAGCACUAAGAACUGGAGAAACCAAGAGAAGUAAAUGUUGAGAAAUGUAUUGUUCAUGGGAAACCUGAAAGUGGAAUAUCUCAGGUCUUCCCCCCGGCCUCUCCUUUAUCCACUAGCGUCUCUGGAAAUCAAAAAUACCAAAUUAUAGGUGUUUGCUUUUGGAAAUGCAGUACAACUUAAACAUUUUUAAAAUAGCUGAUGUCUGCAAAGUCUUGUGGGAAGUGAAGAUCUUGGCCUGAGGCUUUGGUUAAGACGGUGUUUGUGCUCGAGGUACCGUUGCCACACACAUGCCCCUGCUCUAAAUACACACUGAUGAUAGAUGAAGGACAGAGAAAAUGUAAAAUUAGAGGGUACUUGAAACAACCAAACAUCCCUGAGGAUCCGCAUUGGACACAAGUGCACAGGAUGAGAAGGAGUUAGAGAAGCCAUCCUGCUGGACUUGGGGCCCAGAGCAGGCAGAUCCCACAAGGAGGUGGGGUCCUGUUGGGCAGUGGGGACUAAGAGCCCACAGGGAGGGGAGGAAACACGGAUCCAGCCUUCUGACCAGGAGCUGAGCUAAGCCAUACAUUGGUAUAUCCGGAUGCCUCCUGCCAGGACAACACUCCUUGCUCCAGGAUGAAGGCCCCACUUGGACCAGGUCAAUGCCUUCGUUAGCCAGAAGGAGGUGUGAGCAAAGAGGCACCGAGAGAGGGGGAGAAAGAAAGAGAGAUUGAGAGAAUCGCCACCUAGGAUGAGUUGACAAACCCAAAAUUCCAAAACACAUGCACAAACCAAAUGCUAACGUUACCGUCAAAAGCAAGAAUCGAAAGAUGAAUUCACUCCAGGCUAAAAUUAACAAGUCAGGAAACAACAGAUGUUGGCGAGGAUGUGGAGAAAGGGGAACCCUCUUACACUGUUGGUGGGAAAGCAAACUGGUGCAGCCACUCUGGAAAACAGUAUGGAGGUUCCUCAAAAAGUUAAAAAUAGAAGACAACCCAGCAAUUGAACUACUAGGUAUUUAUCCAGAGGAUACAAAAAUAGUGAUCCAAAGGGGCACCUGCACCCUAACGUUUAUAGCAGCAGUGUCCACAAUAGCCAAACUAUGGGAAAAGCCUAGAUGAUGUCCAUCAACAGACGAAUGGUUAAAGAAAAUGUGGUGUAUACACACACACACAAUGGAAUAUUACUCCACCAUCAAAAAGAAUGAAAUCUUGCCAUUUGCAACAACAUGGAUGGUAGAAGGUAUUAUGCUAAGCAAAAUAAGGCAAUCAGACAAAGACAAUUAUCAUAUGAUCUCACUAAUAUGUGGAAUUUAAGACAAAGCAGGUGAACAUAGGGGAAGGGAAGCAAAAAUAAGAUGAAAUCAGAGAGGGAGACAAUCCAUAAGGGACUCUUAACUAUAGAGAACAAAC